This 504-nucleotide ribosomal RNA is filed under the name uncultured bacterium. RNAcentral's name for it is "partial 16S ribosomal RNA". It matches the Rfam family "Bacterial small subunit ribosomal RNA", at positions 28 to 506 of the family's 1533-position model. The record is from RNAcentral.
GACGAACGCUGGCGGCGUGCCUAAUACAUGCAAGUCGAACGCACAGUUUAUACCGUAGCUUGCUACACCAUAGACUGUGAGUUGCGAACGAGUGAGUUACGCGUAGGUAACCUGCCUGGUAGCGGGGGAUAACUAUUGGAAACACUAGCUAAUACCGCAUAAUACUAAUUAUUGCAUGAUAAUUGAUUGAAAGUUGCAACUGCAUCACUACUAGACGGCCCUGGGUUGUAUUAGCUAGUAGGUGAGGUAACGGCUCACCUCGGCGACGAUACAUAGCCGACGUGAUAGGGUGAUCGGCGGCACGGGGACUGGAACAGCGCCCAUGCUCCUACGGGAGGGAGCAGAAGGGAAUCUGAGGCAAUGGAGGAGAGUCUGGCCGAGCGACGCCGCGUGAGUGAAGAAGGUUUCCGGAUCGUAAAGAUCUGUUGUAAGAGGAGAACGGGUGUGGGAGUGGAAGGUGCACAAUGUGAGGGUAUCUUAACAGAAACGGACGGCUAAUUACGG